Molecule: transfer RNA, 88 nt
Organism: Verruconis gallopava
Lineage: Eukaryota; Fungi; Ascomycota; Dothideomycetes; Venturiales; Sympoventuriaceae
Rfam family: tRNA
About the family: Transfer RNA (tRNA) molecules are approximately 80 nucleotides in length.
Source: Rfam
GCAGCGAUGGUCUAGCGGUAUGACGUCUGCUUCACAUUGAAAACCUGUAAAGCGCUGAAGGUCCCGGGUUCGAUCCCCGGUCGCUGUA